RNAcentral lists this long non-coding RNA (815 nucleotides) under Felis catus (domestic cat). RNAcentral's name for it is "lncRNA (ENSFCAG00000045695.2)". The record is from RNAcentral. Lineage: Eukaryota; Metazoa; Chordata; Mammalia; Carnivora; Felidae.
UUUAAGACUUAUUUGCAACCUUUUGGUAUUAUUUUUAUUAUUCUUUUCCUAUAGGGAAAAAUCCGUCUGUGGAUAGCAUCGUCUGAGAAGUCUGAUGGAUGCUUAGUUUGACUUAAAGAUAAAAGGAUGCUUGAAACUCUGUUUGCCCAUCAUGGGCUUCAAUUCUUUUUAGUUUCCAGAGGCCAACUCCACUAGACUUCAACUACGAGUUGAAAAGCUAAGAUGUUACCUUCCAGAGCCAUUGGGAAGAAUAUUCCUGAAUUCGUGUUAAUCUUGGUAUCAUAGAAUCAGACAAGAAACUCAAGAAAAUCAGACAAUUCAACUGUGACUACAUCAUCCAAAAUGUUACUCCGGGAGAACUGGAAAGGCAGUGAAAUGCACUUUUGAAAGUUUAUGGAGAAAGACCAAUUCAAGCAAGUGAUUCAGAGAUUACAAGUAUCAUGAAAAACAGGAAAUGAGGAAGCAAGACUGUAAUGAAUCCUUAUAAAUGGGAUGGUAACAGAAGCCAAAGCAUGAGGGAUGUUGGAAAUUCAGUUCAACCCAGCAAGCUUCUGUUGAGUGCCACUACGUACAAGUUCCUGCUUGGUGCUGGGAAGGUUCAAAGAAAGCCAAUGCCCCUGUCCUUUGUCUUAGGUAGACAAUUUGGUCUUCUGUAUGGACAUGUUGAAAUCUUUUAGAACAUGCUGGAAAGAUGUUUCCUAAACUUCAGUCACUCCUCUGCCACUUCUAUAAUUCCCACUGUGAGCUACCUUUUAUUUGUUUGUUUGUUUGUUUUAGCCCAAAGGUUACUUAAAUAAAUUUAGCUUCAUCUUACA